This 602-nucleotide ribosomal RNA is filed under the name Chrysiptera biocellata (twinspot damselfish). RNAcentral describes it as "partial 16S ribosomal RNA". It matches the Rfam family "Bacterial large subunit ribosomal RNA", at positions 1808 to 2608 of the family's 2925-position model. Lineage: Eukaryota; Metazoa; Chordata; Actinopteri; Pomacentridae. The record is from RNAcentral.
CAAAAACAUCGCCUCUUGAAUAAACAACAUAAGAGGUAUUGCCUGCCCAGUGACCGCAUGUUCAACGGCCGCGGUACUUUAACCGUGCGAAGGUAGCGUAAUCAUUUGUCUUUUAAAUAAAGACCUGUAUGAAUGGCACAACGAGGGCUUAACUGUCUCCUUUUUCCAGUCAAUGAAAUUGAUCUCCCCGUGCAGAAGCGGGGGUCGCAACAUAAGACGAGAAGACCCUGUGGAGCUUCAGACGCUAAAUCAACCCUAGUCCAACACCCCUGCUCAAAGAGUUGAACGCUAUAGGAGACCUGAUCUUAUGUCUUCGGUUGGGGUGACCCCGGGGAAAAAGAAACCCCCGCGUGGAAUAGGGGUACUAUACUCCCAAAUCUAAGAGCCACCACUCAAAGCAUCAGUAAUUCUGACCAACACUUCAGGAUCCGGCUUAACGCCGAUUAACGGACCAAGUUACCCCAGGGAUAACAGCGCAAUCCUCUUUUAGAGUCCAUAUCGACAAGAGGGUUUACGACCUCGAUGUUGGAUCAGGACAUCCUAAUGGUGCAGCCGCUAUUAAGGGUUCGUUUGUUCAACGAUUAAAGUCCUACGUGAUCUGA